This 274-nucleotide ribosomal RNA is filed under the name uncultured bacterium. Its description in RNAcentral is "partial 16S ribosomal RNA". It matches the Rfam family "Bacterial small subunit ribosomal RNA", at positions 523 to 796 of the family's 1533-position model. The record is from RNAcentral.
AUACGGAGGGUGCAAGCGUUAUUCGGAAUCACUGGGCGUAAAGGACGCGUAGGCGGGUUGGCAAGUCAGAUGUGAAAUCCUACAGCUUAACUGUAGAACUGCAUUUGAAACUGCUAACCUAGAGUAUGUGAGGGGGAGAUGGAAUUAGUGGUGUAGGGGUAAAAUCCGUAGAUAUCACUAGGAAUACCGAAAGCGAAGGCGAUCUCCUGGAACAUAACUGACGCUAAGGCGUGAAAGCGUGGGGAGCAAACAGAAUUAGAAACCCCAGUAGUCC